This 301-nucleotide unclassified non-coding RNA is filed under the name plant metagenome. RNAcentral describes it as "partial contains 5.8S ribosomal RNA, internal transcribed spacer 2, and large subunit ribosomal RNA". The stretch from base 1 to 105 matches the Rfam family "5.8S ribosomal RNA", at positions 50 to 154 of the family's 154-position model. The record is from RNAcentral.
GAAAUGCGAUAAGUAGUGUGAAUUGCAGAAUUCAGUGAAUCAUCGAAUCUUUGAACGCACAUUGCGCCCUAUGGUAUUCCGUAGGGCAUGCCUGUUCGAGCGUCAUUUACACCUUCAAGCCUUGCUUGGUGUUGGGUGACUGUGGCCCCUUUGGGGCCACUCGCCUUAAAGUCAUUGGCGGCCGGUUCGUUGGCUUUGUAGCGCAGCACAAUUGCGUCCUCGAAGCCGCUGGCCCAGCUCCCAGAAGCUAAUUUUAAAUGUUUGACCUCGAAUCAGGUAGGGAUACCCGCUGAACUUAAGC